GGCAGAGGGUGCAAACGUUGUUCGGAAUUACUGGGCGUAAAGCGCGUGUAGGCGGCUAAGUAAGUCGGGCGUGAAAUCCCACGGCUCAACCGUGGAAGUGCACUCGAAACUGCAUAGCUAGAGUCCUGGAGAGGAAGGUGGAAUACUUGGUGUAGCAGUGAAAUGCGUAGAUAUCAAGUGGAACACCAGUGGCGAAGGCGAGUCCCUGGACAACUCCUGACACUGAGGCACGAAAGCUAGGGGAGCAAACAGG
Molecule: ribosomal RNA, 253 nt
Filed under: uncultured bacterium
Lineage: Bacteria
Description: partial 16S ribosomal RNA
Rfam family: Bacterial small subunit ribosomal RNA
Source: RNAcentral